RNAcentral lists this ribosomal RNA (460 nucleotides) under uncultured bacterium. RNAcentral's name for it is "partial 16S ribosomal RNA". It matches the Rfam family "Bacterial small subunit ribosomal RNA", at positions 338 to 795 of the family's 1533-position model. The record is from RNAcentral.
CCUACGGGAUGCUGCAGUGAGGAAUAUUGGUCAAUGGGCGCGAGUCUGAACCAGCCAAGUAGCGUGAAGGAUGACUGCCCUAUGGGUUGUAAACUUCUUUUAUACAGGAAUAAAGUGAGGUACGUGUGUCUUUUUGUAUGUAUCUUAUGAAUAAGGAUCGGCUAACUCCGUGCCAGCAGCCGCGGUAAUACGGAGGAUCCGAGCGUUAUCCGGAUUUAUUGGGUUUAAAGGGUGCGUAGAUGGGUUGUUAAGUCAGUUGUGAAAGUUUGCGGCUCAACCGUAAAAUUGCAAUUGAUACUGUCAGUCUUGAGUACAGUUGAGGUAGGCGGAAUUCGUGGUGUAGCGGUGAAAUGCUUAGAUAUCACGAAGAACUCCGAUUGCGAAGGCAGCUUACUAAACUGCCACUGACAUUGAGGCUCGAAAGUGUGGGUAUCAAACAGGAUUAGAUACCCGGGUAGUC